AAAUAAUUCCAUUUCAUUAUCCAAAUCAUAAUCCAUAAUCCAUUUAGUUUGAUUUUAACACAAUCCAUUUUUACAAUAAUCCAUUAUCCAUAUCCAAUUUAGUUUAUCCGUUUAAAACCAAUUGCCAUUAUCCAAUCAUACCCAUAUCCAUUUGUACAAAACCAAAAUUCUUUUCUGCAUAAAAUUCUGCAUUGCAUUUAACAGCAACACAUCCAAAAUUCUGCAUAAAACUGCUAUAAAAAUUCUGCAUCAUCAAAAAUUCAGCAUUACAAAAAUUCUUUUCUGCAUAAAAUUCUGCAUAAAAUUCUGCAUCAUAAAAUUCAGCAUUAAAAUUCUGCAUCAAGUACAAUCAAAAUCCUGCAUUAAAAUCAAAACAAAAUUCUGCAUAAAAUCAAAAUUAAUUUCCUGCAUAAUGAAAUAACAGAAAUCUUCAUUCUUGUAUGAGUAUAAACAGUGCAAAGCCAUAACAGAAAGGAGGGAGGAUCCAUAACAGAAAAAUAACAGAAAUUGGAGGAAGCUUUUUCAUCCUCUAACCUCUCGUUUCUUCGUCUUCCAUCUUCUUCCAUUCCUCCACCAUCACAAACUCUUCCAAUCCUUCAACCACCGUAACCGUUUUUUCAAUGCACAAUCACCUUCAUCAAAAACUCCAAACUCCAUAGCCAAACCUUCAACCACUACGAAUCCGUAACCGUAACCGUAAUCUCCGUUCACCGAAACCUUCAACCGCUUCCAAUCUUCACUCUUCAAUUCUUCCACAUUAAUUUAUCAUCAUCACAACCGAACCACCAAAGAUCCUGCAACAAUUCUGCAGCAAUUAUCUCCUUUCUCGGAAGUGAUAAGCAGAAGAAAAAAGAAGAAAUAAUAGAAAAGAGAAAUCCAGAAGAGAUCGGAAUAAUCGGAAACUCACGAUCCAAGAGACUUCUUCUUCAUUUCGAUCGGCAAUACCGGUAUUACGUCUUCGUCUUCAUCUCAAAGCGGAGAUGCGAGCGAGGCCUUCAUCAUCCACCAAGAACCUUCAACAAAAUCCGUAGAAGCUCGCAACUCGUAACGGAAUUGGUGAGAAGCUACAAUCAGAAAGAAACCGAUAAUUGAAGAAGCAGUAGAAGGAACCN
RNAcentral lists this long non-coding RNA (1112 nucleotides) under Lathyrus oleraceus (garden pea). Its description in RNAcentral is "Pisum sativum (pea) long non-coding RNA (PSAT_LNC004497)". The record is from RNAcentral. Lineage: Eukaryota; Viridiplantae; Streptophyta; Magnoliopsida; Fabales; Fabaceae.